This 728-nucleotide long non-coding RNA is filed under the name Ananas comosus (pineapple). RNAcentral's name for it is "long non-coding RNA (ACOM_LNC016206)". The record is from RNAcentral. Lineage: Eukaryota; Viridiplantae; Streptophyta; Magnoliopsida; Poales; Bromeliaceae.
UUAAUAUUCAAAAAUACUUUUUCAUAAAUACUUUUUUUUUAAAUUUUUUUUCUUACUUUCAAAAACUAUAGUGUAUCCUUCUUAAAAUUUCAUAAUAUUUUGAGAAAAUUACGGAGUUAAGAGGUUAGCGGAAUGACUAAAUUAUUUUUAUUUGUUAUAAAAAAGAAUAAUUUUUUUAUAUCUUCUUAUUAUUUUAAAUAAUAGUUUUUUUUAUAAAUUAUAAAAAAUAGACGGAAUAGUGACGCAGGAAUAGAGCCUAAAUAUAUUAGCUUAAAAUUUUGAGGAAUAUAUAAAUUUUUUAAAAAAUUAAUAAAAGUGAAAAAGUAAAUAUGUGUGAGGAGUUUUUUUUUUAGGAUUAAUUGCAUACAGGCUAUAGUUCAACUUUCAUAUAUGUUUUCAAACAUGUUCCUGUCGUUAGGAUUCGUCAGAAAAAAUUAGUUAAUCAUAGGUAAAAUACUUAAUCCUAAUUAGUUAAUAAAGUGAGUUGACUUUUUCACCCCUUUUUAAUUAACAGUUGGGACUUUUGGAAUUUAGAGUGAUAUAUAUUUAUGAUGACAAAAGGGUUAUUUUAUUUAUAAAAUAAAUAGUGUUUUAAUGGUCACAAAUCAGAGAAAUAUAUUUGAAAAUAUUAUAAUUUUUGGAGAAAAGAUAUAUGAAAAUUAAAUUUUAUAGAAAUAUAUUUGUCAAUUUAUUAUAUUUAUGGGGAUCUAUAUAAAAUUAAUUUUUUU